Molecule: ribosomal RNA, 185 nt
Filed under: Bacillus thuringiensis serovar kurstaki str. HD-1
Lineage: Bacteria; Bacillati; Bacillota; Bacilli; Caryophanales; Bacillaceae
Description: partial small subunit ribosomal RNA
Rfam family: Bacterial small subunit ribosomal RNA
Source: RNAcentral
GUUUGAUCCUGGCUCAGGAUGAACGCUGGCGGCGUGCCUAAUACAUGCAAGUCGAGCGAAUGGAUUAAGAGCUUGCUCUUAUGAAGUUAGCGGCGGACGGGUGAGUAACACGUGGGUAACCUGCCCAUAAGACUGGGAUAACUCCGGGAAACCGGGGCUAAUACCGGAUAACAUUUUGAACCGCA